UACGUAGGUGGCAAGCGUUGUCCGGAAUUAUUGGGCGUAAAGCGUGCGUAGACGGUUAUGUAAGUCGGGUGUGAAAGCCCCGGGCUCAACCUGGGAAUGCCAUUCGAGACUGCAUAGCUAGGGUGCGGAAGAGGGAAGCGGAAUUUCCGGUGUAGCGGUGAAAUGCGUAGAUAUCGGAAGGAACACCAGUGGCGAAAGCGGCUUCCUGGUCCAGCACCGACGUUCAGGCACGAAAGCGUGGGGAGCAAACAGG
RNAcentral lists this ribosomal RNA (253 nucleotides) under uncultured bacterium. Its description in RNAcentral is "partial 16S ribosomal RNA". It matches the Rfam family "Bacterial small subunit ribosomal RNA", at positions 524 to 776 of the family's 1533-position model. The record is from RNAcentral.